This 496-nucleotide ribosomal RNA is filed under the name uncultured bacterium. RNAcentral's name for it is "partial 16S ribosomal RNA". It matches the Rfam family "Bacterial small subunit ribosomal RNA", at positions 28 to 506 of the family's 1533-position model. The record is from RNAcentral.
GAUGAACGCUGGCGGCGUGCCUAAUACAUGCAAGUCGAGCGAACAGACGAGGAGCUUGCUCCUCUGACGUUAGCGGCGGACGGGUGAGUAACACGUGGAUAACCUACCUAUAAGACUGGGAUAACUUCGGGAAACCGGAGCUAAUACCGGAUAAUAUAUUGAACCGCAUGGUUCGAUAGUGAAAGACGGUUUUGCUGUCACUUAUAGAUGGAUCCGCGCCGCAUUAGCUAGUUGGUAAGGUAACGGCUUACCAAGGCAACGAUGCGUAGCCGACCUGAGAGGGUGAUCGGCCACACUGGAACUGAGACACGGUCCAGACUCCUACGGGAGGCAGCAGUAGGGAAUCUUCCGCAAUGGGCGAAAGCCUGACGGAGCAACGCCGCGUGAGUGAUGAAGGUCUUCGGAUCGUAAAACGCUGUUAUUAGGGAAGAACAAAUGUGUAAGUAACUAUGCACGUCUUGACGGUACCUAAUCAGAAAGCCACGGCUAACUACGU